The sequence is a ribosomal RNA, 497 nucleotides long. It matches the Rfam family "Bacterial large subunit ribosomal RNA", at positions 1816 to 2596 of the family's 2925-position model.
AGUCGGCAGCAGAUGAACUUAAAUUUGAUUGUCGAUAUCUUCUGCCCGGUGUUUAUAUAAACGGCCGCAGUACCUUGACUGUGCUAAGGUAGCAUAAUCAAUUGGCUAUUAAUUGUAGUCUAGUAUGAAUGAAGUAAUGAAUAGUAACUAUAAUAAAAAAUAUUAUUUUAAUUUAAUGAACUGGUGAAAAUACCAGUAUAUAGAAAAAAGACGAGAAGACCCUUAGAGUUUUUGAAAUAAAGAUUGUUUAAGACUUUAAUAUAUACUACUCUUAAAGUAAUUAUACAAUACACUUUUUUGUUGGGGCGACAAGAAAGCAAUAUAACCUUUCUAUUGACACUAAAAGUGGUAUUAGAUUUGACGAUAUUAUUAUGAAUGACUAAACUACCUGAGGGAUAACAGCAUAAUGAUAAAUAUUAGUUUGUGACCUCGAUGUUGGACUAGGGACUUGUACACUAACCGUGAUAAAAGCUUGUUCUGUUCGAACAAUAAACCCC